CUUAAAAAUCCCGAGUCCGCCGCUAAAGAUAUGUUUUACUAUCAAUACAUCCCUAUUCGAUCGCGUAAACCAUUAUUUAAGUGGAGGAUUACGCUAUCUGAGGAGGGGCUACUAUUUAUUUGGGAUUACAAUGUCAUCGGAUAAGCUCCAAAAAGUCCUCGCCCUCAAAUAUAUAGAGGUAAGGGCACAAGCAUACUCAUUACUCUCAUCCCUAUUUCUUCACCUGCUUCCCCUUUACUUCCUCUUCUUCCACACAGGUUAUCUCUGCAAACUGUGAGAGUUUCUAGGUCUCGUGUGUGUGUUCUUCUCUCCCUUUUCCGCUUGUUUAAUGCUGCCCCACCCCCUGUCAGCAUAUUCACAAAUCUGAUUCAAUUCCUUCUUCCCCUCCAAGUCUUUUGUGCUAUUUUUGUUGAAAUCUUGAGUGACAUUUGGACAGAUACUAAAAGAGGGUCUUUCUUUUCUUUCUUCCCAUUUUCUUGUUUUUUUCUUCAAGUCUUCCUUUAUUUUUCAUUUUGAGUGAAAAUAUGUGGAGAACUGUUGUGAUUGUUGUAACAUAAAAUUUAUUGAAUGUUGCUAUGUUGCUGUAACUUGCUUUUUGACUAAACUUAUUUUAUCUGUAUCACUGCCUUUUAUUUUCUUCAUUUUAAUGAACAAAAUUUGGAUGACUGGGAUGCUAUCUGGGUAAGGAAAAUCGAUCUAGUCAAUUUUUCACUUGAAAGGAUGAAAUGUAUUCCAAGAGCACUUUGGAACCAGAAAUGCCAUGGCAAAUAAAAAGAAGACUGACGCAGGAUAAAGACAUAAUCCUAUUCAUGCUUUUCAUCAUUUCAUACCGAGGGAUAAGAAUCCUGGGAUAUUUCCUUUUGAACCCAACUGAAGGAAGGCGUGCAGUUAUUCUCAGCAAAGCCAACCAAAGUUAUAAAUGAGUUACUGGCAUUCCAUCAGUCACUUGGAUCAAACUAGUACAGAGUAAUAAAUGUUAUAAGCUUAACUUGUAAGGCCGAACUAGUAAAGAGUAGAGUCCAAGUCUGAAUGAUGAUAUGAACUAAAUUUCCUCAAAGUCAUAUAAGUUUUAAUUAACACAAUCCUCCUAUUUCAUGAUUAGGAAUGAAGUUCUCCUACAACCCAAAAGGCAUGUUAAUCUGUGUUUAAACAAGAUUAAAGGUUUUCUCUUCCCAAAUAUUUGAAGGACUGAGCAAGACAAGUGGGAAAGGAUUCUGAUGGAAAUCAAAACUUUGACCUAGUAACUGUAAAAUGCUCACCGAACUAAAUUAA
Molecule: non-coding RNA, 1272 nt
Organism: Nicotiana tabacum (common tobacco)
Lineage: Eukaryota; Viridiplantae; Streptophyta; Magnoliopsida; Solanales; Solanaceae
Source: RefSeq, a predicted model, not a curated record